This 331-nucleotide ribosomal RNA is filed under the name uncultured bacterium. RNAcentral's name for it is "bacterial SSU rRNA". It matches the Rfam family "Bacterial small subunit ribosomal RNA", at positions 568 to 898 of the family's 1533-position model. The record is from RNAcentral.
CGCGUAGGCGGUUCGAUAAGUCGGGUGUGAAAGCCCCGGGCUUAACCUGGGAAUUGCAUUCGAUACUGUCGGGCUGGAGUAUGGUAGAGGAAAGCGGAAUUCCACAUGUAGCGGUGAAAUGCGUAGAUAUGUGGAGGAACAUCAGUGGCGAAGGCGGCUUUCUGGACCAAUACUGACGCUGAGGCGCGAAAGCGUGGGGAGCAAACAGGAUUAGAUACCCUGGUAGUCCACGCCGUAAACGAUGAGAACUAGGUGUUGGGAGGCAUGACCUCUUAGUAUCGAAGCUAACGCGAUAAGUUCUCCGCCUGGGGAGUACGGCCGCAAGGUUAAA